RNAcentral lists this long non-coding RNA (937 nucleotides) under Chrysolophus pictus (golden pheasant). RNAcentral describes it as "lncRNA (ENSCPIG00010000596.1)". The record is from RNAcentral. Lineage: Eukaryota; Metazoa; Chordata; Aves; Galliformes; Phasianidae.
UACUAUGUUCUCUUUACAAAAAAAGAUGAAAUAAAAAUUAAACUUCUGAUUUAUCCAGCAGGAUGGAACUGGCAAUUCUGUGGCUGAGGGGGACGGAGGUCGGCAGCCAGUGUUGGAGCAGAAGCCACAUCCUUGAGUUGCAGCAGCGCAGUCUGAUGCCGUGGUUGUGCCAGGGCUGCUGGGAGAAAAGCUGGGCUGGCUGAGAGCUGCAGUCCUCUCAAGCUGGUGGAAGAGCUACAGAGACCCUAUUUGAAGUAGAAAGAACUGGAUUUUGCCAUCAUUUACACCUCAAGGAGCUGCCACAGGAGGAGGGGCCAGUGUUUGCCAGCUUGCUCUGCUCCCUGCAGCCCUCACUGGGGAGCCGCGCCACAGGAAAUGCUGAGCAGGAAUCAGACACGAGAGCAUCGUGCUGGGUUGGUUUUGCUCUUGGAAACAGAAGGUGGAGCAAGCCACAGCUGAGACAAGUGUCAGGGUCUGCAGUGAAAGCAGGAUCCAUGCCAAGCAGGAUGGAGGACUCUAAGGGGUCACAGCAGAGAGCUGCAUCCAUGGGAGCAUCCUGGAGCAACUGGCCACAUGGUGCUGACAUCCGAGAAGAUUUUUAACGUGAUUUUUCACCAUGCUGUUCACUGCUGACACCACCUUUCUCACUGCAGGUGCAUCUACUGCUUGUGCGACAUUUUAUGCUGUCUCAUUUGGAUUGUAUCUCAAGGAGGAUUUAGAGGAGCUGGCAAGCUGGAGAUCUGAUGGCUUCCCAAAGCUCACAGGCAGCACUCUUCCCCUGCAUGUGACAUGUGCAUUGCUCUCAAAUUCAGAGGAUGGCUCACAGCUGCUGUGACUGAAACCAGGAUGUAUGUGGGGCUGAGAGUUGCCCAUGGGAGCCAGGAGGUGAGUGUCUUUUGUUUGGAUGUCCCUGCUGACGGAUGCUCCAUCCAUGGCC